CCUACGGGUGGCAGCAGUGAGGAAUAUUGGUCAAUGGCCGCUAGCCUGAACCAGCCAAGUAGCGUGAAGGAUGACUGCCCUAUGGGUUGUAAACCUCUUUUAUCUGGGAAUAAAGUGCAGCAUGUAUACUGCUUUGCAUGUACCUUAUGAAUAAGGAUCGGCUAACUCCGUGCCAGCAGCCGCGGUAAUACGGAGGAUCCGAGCGUUAUCCGGAUUUAUUGGGUUUAAAGGGUGCGUAGGCGGGUUGUUAAGUCAGUUGUGAAAGUUUGCGGCUCAACCGUAAAAUUGCAGUUGAUACUGGCAUCCUUGAGUGCAGUAGAGGUAGGCGGAAUGCGUGGUGUAGCGGUGAAAUGCUUAGAUAUCACGAAGAACUCCGAGUGCGAAGGCAGCCUGCUGGCGUGUAACUGACGCUGAUGCACGAAAGUGUGGGUAUCAAACAGGAUUAGAUACCCGGGUAGUC
RNAcentral lists this ribosomal RNA (460 nucleotides) under uncultured bacterium. RNAcentral's name for it is "partial 16S ribosomal RNA". It matches the Rfam family "Bacterial small subunit ribosomal RNA", at positions 338 to 795 of the family's 1533-position model. The record is from RNAcentral.